Molecule: non-coding RNA, 6559 nt
Organism: Lolium perenne
Lineage: Eukaryota; Viridiplantae; Streptophyta; Magnoliopsida; Poales; Poaceae
Source: RefSeq, a predicted model, not a curated record
GGGCCGACGAGCAGAGGCAGCGUGGCCGUUCGCUGAUGUCGCCUUCCUCCCCUCAUUUUCCUGUACGCAUGGUCGUGGGGGAAAACCCUAGAUCGGGCCCGUGUGCUCCCCCACUCGUCUCCUCCCCGCGUCUUACCCUUCUCCACAGGCGGCGGCGCGACGGGAUUGAUGCCCUCCUCAUCCUCUUCUUUAUCCCACUUCCAGCGGCGGAGUCGGCAACGGCGGAGACGGCCGGGGGCACGCGGCGAACGGACGAGCCGGAGCGCGGCGGCGUUCGAGAGAGGAGCAGCUGGCCGCGGGGAGGUCGAGGGCGAUGGACGGCUGGAGAGCAGGCCGCGGCCGGCGAGCUCGCGGAGGGACGCACGGGUGCAGCCAUCGCCGGCGAGCUGCGGGGGCGAGCGCGCGCAUGCAGGUGCGGGCGGAUGGCGGCGCUCCCGGUCGGGGCGAAGGGCGCGUGAGAGACGCACUUCAAGAUGCGACGCCGGAGCGCGGCGGCGCUGGCCGGGGCCUUGCGUGCCGCGGUCGGGGCGCAGGGCACAGGUGGCCGGGGUGGAGUCACUCACGCCAGCUCGUCAGCUCCCGCCGGCCUCCUCAAGCCUCGUCAAGCCAUUGGCAAGGACCCCGUCGCCUGAUGCCCAUGGUGCGUACCCUCUCCUCUUUCUUUUUGCCAUGGAUCAUGUUCUAGCUCGUUGGAGAUGGAGCCCUCACUCCUGCACGUGAUUUAGUCUUCCUCUAUUCUCAGUUUAUCAUGCACAAAAACAUGAUUUAUAGAUCGGUACCCAGUAUGUUUUCUCCUGCACGAUUCUCUGACCAUAAUGAUGACUCAGCUAUGUAGCGAUGUAGCCAGCGUUUCUUUGUCCUAGGAAAUAUGAACAAUGUGGAGAAUGGAAUUGGAAAGGAGAUGCUAUUGGUGUUGUCCCUGUCUAAUAGAUGACACAAUGUACAGGAUGUUUGGGCGCUUGUGCUGCUGUGGCCCAAAGUUUUGCAAAUGGCUUCUACUGCUGACAAGAAUCAGCAGGGCGGCGGUGCUCCGCCUAGAGGAGUUGCAGGGGAGAGGAAGGAGGCCAGAGACAGGAGGGAAGAGCGGGCGGCCUCCCCUCUCUCUUUGUAAGCCAUCUGAGGACAUGAGAUCAAACUGGUUCUUUGGGAUGAUCGUGCAGCUGAGUUCAAAGUUGAGGGGGCUUGUGCUAUAGGAGAUACGGAACAGGCAGUGCGCCUUCUUUGUUGGACCAUUCCCUGAGAUGGUAAAAGGUAAACUUGUAGGCAUCUACUCUUAUAUGUGUUUCACUUCAGAGUUUGAUAUUUCAAUCCAUAUAACAGGUUGGUUUACUGUGAUUCUAAUACAGUUUGUGUUUUCAGGUAUUUUGAGUAAUGGAAAUUAUUAUACUUGGAUUGACUGUUUUAGAGUAAGCUAACCUUGACUGUUUUAAAGUAAAUGGCAUAUUUUGAAUGAUUUCUUUUAUUCGAGCAUUGUUCACCACUAUUCUUUAUGUCAUGACAUUUUUUAUUUAUGCUUCGGAGCUAAUGCAACUAUGUGACCAAUCAUGUAAUUAUAAAGGUUUGGCACUUCUUUAUUUUGGUUCGACUUCUUUUAAUCAUUUUGUUGUGUAUUCAAGUUUUUGCGGUUGUCACUAUACCAUAAUAAUGAUCCAUGUUAAUCACCAAUGAGAACUAUGUGUGCAUGAAGUUAUUUAUUUAAUCUAGGAGGCCAAUAUAAUUUUGUAUCAAAAAAUGUGUUUAUACCAGCUUGCUAACCUGCAAUUUCUGCUAUAAAGUAAUUUUUUGGUUCAGUUUAUAGAGAAAAUAAUUACAGUAUCAUCGUAAAAAGGUUGAGAAUAACUACAGUAUCAUCCUAAAAAGGUUAAGAAAAUAUAAAAUUAAAAUAAGUGAAGUUGGCAUUGUAAUGCUUUGAGUUUUCUAUUUCGAUAACUUAGUUUUUAAGUGCUCAAUGCUUGGCCAUGUCGUGCUACCUUGCAUGUGAUAGGAGUGGAUGCAGGACACAGGAAUCGUCAAUUAGGUAUAUUCAGUACCUCUAUUGCUGUUUGACCCUAGCCCAUAUAUGGAAUGCAACAAGGCAGGAAUUCGUAGUCAUUUGUCGACGUGUGCUUACCAUUAUUAGGGUCAUAUUCUGAUUAUGUACCAAACGAAUGUCUUGACAAAGUUCCAGGAAAUGCGGUUCAAUUACCUACUACUGCUACAUGUUUAUUGUCUCCUUCAGAAUUCAGACCUCUGCCCUUUUCGUUGACAUGCAUGUGAACUGAACUAGGCCUACAGGUCUGCAAAUCUGGUUGCCGACAGAUGUUAACUUUUCUAAGUAGUACAUACAAUUUAUCUCUAAAUUUACUUAGCUAUAGAAUUCUGUGUAAAUCACACCGGGGCGACCGAUGCAUGUGCAGCAACGGCGACAGGUUGGUCCCUAUAGGCACUUGAUCAACAUAAUUUGAAUUUUGUAACAACUAUGGGUGAUGUAAGUAAUACAGAUAGGGUUUUCCAAAUUAUCUCUAUUGUUUCAUCCUGUUGAUAGAUGCACGACUGAACAUUUCGUUUCCGUUUCAUAGUUAACAGUUGAAUAUGACUAGCCUUUAAGAAACAUGGGUUUGUACACUGUAGUUGGCAUGUGGUUCAAAUUUCUGCUGGAUUUCAGGUUCUGUUUUGUUCUUGGUAAGCUUUCAGCUUUCAUGUAUUUUAUUAUUAAAUUGGUUGCCAUCUUUGCUCUUAUGUUCUAUAACUGAAUGUACUUAGGCAGUUAGGCUCGAAACACAGAAUAUAAUAGUCAGAUCCAAAUGCAUUUGUUUCUUGUUACCGUUCCGAUGCCUCUGUUUUUACGGCUUGCAGACAUUAUAAUUCCAUUGGUUUACCCCAUUAGGAGUUCUUGAUUCAGCAAAAGUUCUGUUUGGUCCUUCUCUUGUAUUCAUGUGACCUGGUACGUUAUCCAUCAAACAGCAACAUUAAAGAUGUCCAGGAUUCAUCCGUGCCGAGAGCUCUCCUCCUGGUUUGGUCUGGAGAGGUAUUUUUUCAAAAUGGGAAUCUAGAGAGCUUGGUUCAACUGGAAUUGAUGAUCCAAGUGAACCACCCACUUCAUCUACCACAGCUUCAACAGAUAAGAGGUGAUAAGAUUGGGCGAGAUAGAAGAGAUCAUGAGAAACAUGAUGAAUAUUACUGCACCACUCUUCACCUUCAACUGCGACCUCGCUGAACUCAGGUUUAAAUGCAAAGCUUGCAGCCAAGCACAUUAUCCACAAGCUUGCAUUACCACCAUGUUCUAGAUCUCUUUUGGAGGCGACGAAGUAGUAUGCUCUUGAUGAGUUGCUUCCUGGGCAGGUUUCGUUCUGUGCUAGACUAUAUUGCCAGAAACUUCAUAUGUAAAGGAAGAAUACGAUGAGCCCAAUUCACUGCUUGAGGAUGCUCAGAGCCGUCAAGAAAGCAAGCGUGCCGGCGGCGGCUCUAGCGCUGAUGGGCGACAAUGAGCGAAGCACGUAGUGCAACAGCCUGGGCAUGAUGCGGGGGAGGUGUUCAGACCAUAGGCGUGUCUUGGGAAGUGGUGUUGCAUCCAGCGAAGGUGAGCAUGGUGGAUUUCAAGGCACUAAUAUGUUGGCCGAUGCUUGCCUGCUGAGCACGUUCAUGAGGUCUUAUACAUAAUGGGCCAUGAUGACAAGGAAGAAAGAGGUUACCUCAGACCAUCUGCCUAGGGACACGGAGGUUGAAGGCGGAUAUCUGAAGAUGGACGGGACACCUCUCUUUCCCACAUGAGGCCAAACCGAGGGUUGUGGUGGCCACGUUUAUGGAAGUUCUCAAGAUGGUGCUCUAUUGCAGCCUCAGAUAGGGACCAUUGCUUGUUCUCAAGAUGGUGCUCUAUUGCAGCCUCAGAUAGGGACCAUUGCAGUUCUCAAUAUGGAAGUUCUCAAGAUGAUGCUUUUAAUCUCUUCCAUGUUCUGAUAUUCACAUCUCCUGUGCUGGUUCCUCUCCCAAGUAGAUCCAUGGUGAUUGGUUCAAGGCAUGCCACUCUUGCCGUACCAUUUUUGGUGUGCUCUAUUUCAGUGUUUUUUUCGCUCUCCUUGCCUUUAGGUAAGUAGUGGUUUGCUAGCUGUAGAUGAGGGGGUAUGGAAGCUCGACCAAAAGCUCGAUUGAAGGUAUAGUUUGACUGUUUCUUCUUUCAAUUUUUCUGCAGUUCCAUUUAGUUACACAUGUUAGAUUUAGACCUGAUUAUAUGACUGCUAUAUGACUGUCAUAUGCUCUUUCUUAUUAAAUAUUAUUCUGGUUUUGCUUGUUAUGGAGAAAUGAAUAUUAUGUGAUCAAGUGCUUUCUUUGCAUCAUUGUUUAUUGCAUGAAACGGGCAACAAAAAAACGAUAUGGUGUGUUCUAGGCUAACUUCACUUCUGGUCGUUAUUCAAGUGGAAAUGCUAAAGAAGCUUCAGCAGGCCUUCCAUUUGAUGCUGGUGUCAAGGUAACUGAUGCCCCAUAUGUUGUUUUGUGUAAAACACAUGACACGCCAUCUUUCUGAUUUCUGGAAUUUCCGAGCAGUGAAUUGCCUUUAAUAGUUUGAUGAUGCCAGCAUAGCAAAGAAGUUUGUACUAACAGCUGAGUUAUCAGCCUUUGCUAUAAUAUUCAACUUGUGAAAUAAUAAUAAAUCAUGUCAAAAACUCCUCAGGGCCAAGCCAACUGCAUCAUCACAUAAAUUAUGUCUCAACUGUUAUUUUUAUAUGCUUGCGUGGGUAAGGUUCUAAGGGAAAGGAUAGCAUGCUCGCUCUUGACCGACUUGCUGUAGACUCUUCCUCCUGGUGUAGAUGUAAGGUUCCGGGUUAUUACUGGAGAGUAUAGAUCUGAUAAAUGCAUUAUCUUUAAUUGUAUUUUUUAUUGAUUUGAUGAGAUGCAUCCAAUUGGAAUGUUGGGCAACUAAAAGAUUACCUCGGAAUUUCAGGAAGGCAAGCAUAUGACUAGCACAAAAUGUAGAUGUUUCCUUUUCUGUGAAAAGAUUACUUCUGUAUUGCAGGAAAGAACUAUCUGGUGCUCUGUUUUUGCCUCAGAGACUGGUAAGCAUAGUCAUGCUAAGUGAACUUUGUUGCCAUCGAUAUAUUCAUCUGAGCGUCGCGAAUCAGAAAUGGAGGAGGUCAUGGAAGAGAGGAGGCGUGGCGAUGUUGUGGCGAACGGUGCCAGUCAGCGAUGUAGCGGCGUCCACAUGCGACGACCAGGUCAGGCAUGUCAAUCCCCUCCCUUCUCCUCUCUCUCUCUCUCUCUCUCUCUCUCUCUCUCUCUCUCUCUCUCUCUCUCUCUCUCUCUCUCUCGUUGUGCACUGCCGUAGCUAAAAUGGUUCAUUUAGAGAAGGGACGAGAAGGGAAUUUGACCAAGUUUUUAUUUGCCUUAAGUUUUUACAUUCUGUGAUUCUGAAGCAAAUGUUACACAUGUUCCUGCUCUUUCAUGGCCCAUGUUGUUAAGAAACAUAUUGUAUUGUUUCCUUUUUAUGAAAGCAAUGUUGUUUUCUGACUAUGAGGUUCUCCAUGCAUAUGGAUUGAUCAUAUUUUCAGUGUUCUGAAGUUUUCAUAUGAGGGUAGGCAGGUACAGAUUAAUGUUAAGGCAUGAAAAUUAGGGAAAUGCUAAUUGGUGUAUUAGAAGUUUGCUCUUUGGAUUUCGAGCAUAUCUACAUGCUGCCAUUGAUUUUUUGUACUGGCAAUGUAUUUGGCUCAUAUAUGAUCAUAGAAUUCUUGCAAUGUACUGGCAUAUAUUAAGUUCGUGUAACUGUUAUUACAUUUUGUAUAUAAUAAUAAUAAUUAGCAAGUUACACACAUGUUUAGGGUACUAGCAUUCAGAGUCAGAGUUAAUCUUGCGCUGUCAGUAUGGGUUACAGGAGUAUUCUGUAUUAGCACAUUUGUAAAUGGGAAAAUUUGUUGCUUUAAAGCAUUUCUAAUAUUUUUGCAUUACUUCGCACCAUUGAUUCAUUGAUCAUGUCCUUAUUCACAUAGUUUUUUAGCAUAUGAAAAUUCACACUCCAAUGUAAUAUUAGUAAGUAGGUGAUUUGGUUGUCAUUAUGGACAUAAAUACUACUAUUGCUUCUGCAGUUCAUAUUUUUUUUAGCAAAAUGUAUAUGUUAACUUCUUUUGUCAAGCUCUUAAACCAGUUUUAGUGGUCAAACUAUUAAGUGGGUUUUUUGUGAGUACAAGCAUGGGUGGAUCUAGCUCCCAGUGACACCGAGCGGCUGCCCAGGCUGCUCUGGCAAGUUUUUCUUAAAUAGUAGUGUACCUUUUUCAGAUAUAAGCCCUUCACUUCCCUGCGAUGUAGUUUGAAGUGGCAAGGAACUUGUGAUUCAUGGAAGAUAGGAAAGUAUGGUAUAUUAAAUAGCUGUCGUAUGCAAUAUGGGGUAGACAUAAUUCAGGCAAAUCCCUCUUUGAGUUGUUUCUCCUUAUAUAGCAUGAUACAACAAUCGUUACCUUUUAUUCGCUUUCAAUAUGAGGUAUAAUCAUGUUAUCUACGAUAUUGGUUGCCGUUUUGAGUACAAGAAAAUAAAGAUCCCAGGCUGAAAACAUCUUUAUUUGUAGCUGAACUGGAUGAACACUUCUGAUGUUGU